This 1618-nucleotide ribosomal RNA is filed under the name bioreactor sludge metagenome. RNAcentral describes it as "bacterial LSU rRNA". It matches the Rfam family "Bacterial large subunit ribosomal RNA", at positions 798 to 2316 of the family's 2925-position model. The record is from RNAcentral.
GCCCGGAUGACUUGUGGUUAGCGGUGAAAUGCCAAUCGAACCCGGAGAUAGCUGGUUCUCCUCGAAACAGUUUUAGGACUGGCGUCGCGUAGUAGCACGUGGGGGUAGAGCUCUGUAAAGGACUGGAGGGAGCAAUCUUAUCCACCCUUAACAAACUACGAAUACCAUGUGUGUAAGCGCGGCAGUUAGAACGGCGGAGCUAAGUUCGUCGCUCAAAAGGGAAAAAGCCCAGACCAACAGCUAAGGUCCCUAAAUUUACGUUAAGUGGGAAACAAGGUGAGAUUUCUUAAACAGCUAGGAUGUUGGCUUAGAAGCAGCCAUUCAUUUAAAGAGUGCGUAACAGCUCACUAGUCAAGAGAUCUUGCGUGGAAAAUGUAACGGGGCUAAACGUAAUACCGAAGCUUUGGAUUUGCAAUUUAUUGCAAGUGGUAGAGGAGCGUUCCUAUCUGCGGUGAAGCAGUUUUGGAAAGAAUUGUGGAGCGUUAGGAAGUGAGAAUGCUGGAAUGAGUAACCAUAAGAUAGGUGAGAAUCCUGUCGGCCGUAAGAGCAAGGUUUCCUGAGCCAUGGUAAUCAUCUCAGGGUUAGUCGGGCCUAAGCCGAGGCGCAUAGCGUAGGCGAUGGACAUCAGGUUAAUAUUCCUGAACCGGUUAAGUUUUGUACACUGUUCACGGAGAGAUAUUUAGAGCGGAUUCAUGGUUUUUAUCCGUCCAACCGAGGGGGAACCCAAAGGGAGUGAAAGUUACCUUUUAGGUGACGAUUCUGAAAAAGGCUCUGGCUAGAAAAGCAGAUGUACGUAUGGACUUAGCCGCCCGUACCGCAAACCAACACAGGUGCUCGAGUCGAGUAGACUCAGGCUUACGAGAGAACCCUCGCUAAGGAACUCGGCAAUACAGCGACCGUAACUUCGGAAUAAGGUCUGCCCCCCAUUUCGGUGGGUAUAUUGUCAGGUUUAAGCGAAUGAAUAGAGAACGGUUAAAUUAAAUGAGUAUACCUUUUAUAAUUUUAACGAAACUUCUUACUGAGAUAGUCAACAAGAUUAAAUUCUAAGCUUAAAACUGAGACUCAAUGUAUCUAACGAUAUGGGGGGCCGCAGCUAAAGAGCCCACGGAACUGUUUAUCAAAAACACAGCUCUCUGCUAACACGAAAGUGGAUGUAUAGGGGGUGACUCCUGCCCGGUGCUGGAAGGUUAAGGGGAGUGCUUCACGGUACGAACUGAAGCCCCAGUGAACGGCGGCGGUAACUAUAACCGUCCUAAGGUAGCGAAAUUCCUUGUCAGGUAAGUUCUGACCCGCACGAAUGGAGUAAUCAUGUGGGCACUGUCUCAGCGAGGGCCUCGGUGAAAGUGCAUUGGCGGUAAAGAUGCCGUCUGUCCAUACCAGGACGAGAAGACCCCAUGGAGCUUUACUACAGUUUUACAUUGACCCGGGUUUCAACAUGUGUAGCAUAGUUGGGAGGCUUCGAAGCAGAUACGCUAGUAUUUGUGGAGCCGCAACGUGAAAUACCAACCUUGUUGUGAUCUUGGUCUCACGUUUACCGUUAUCCGGUAAGCGGACCGUGUAUGAUGGGUAGUUUAACUGGGGCGGUUGCCUCCUAAAGAGUAGCGGAGGCGUUCAAAGG